Molecule: non-coding RNA, 195 nt
Filed under: Ectopseudomonas oleovorans
Lineage: Bacteria; Pseudomonadati; Pseudomonadota; Gammaproteobacteria; Pseudomonadales; Pseudomonadaceae
Source: RNAcentral
AGCCUUCCGUCCUUUCGAGGUUCUCCAGCGAAGGCUGGAGCUAAGAGGGAACGUGGUCCAAGCCACGGCUGCCCCCGCAACUGUAAACAGCCGAUGCCCUGUCCACAGCCACUGCCCCACGGGCGGGAAGGCGGACCCGGCGGCGCCCCGCGCCAGGCUGUGAGCCAGGAGACCUGCCUCGCACAGAUUCCAGAC